UACGAAGGGGGCUAGCGUUGUUCGGAAUUACUGGGCGUAAAGCGCACGUAGGCGGGUUGUUAAGUCAGGGGUGAAAUCCCGGAGCUCAACUCCGGAACUGCCUUUGAUACUGGCAACCUAGAGGCUGGAAGAGGUUAGUGGAAUUCCCAGUGUAGAGGUGAAAUUCGUAGAGAUGUGGAGGAACACCGAUGGCGAAGGCAGCCUUCUGGGCCAACACUGACGCUCAUGCACGAAAGCGUGGGGAGCAAACAGG
RNAcentral lists this ribosomal RNA (253 nucleotides) under uncultured bacterium. RNAcentral's name for it is "partial 16S ribosomal RNA". It matches the Rfam family "Bacterial small subunit ribosomal RNA", at positions 524 to 776 of the family's 1533-position model. The record is from RNAcentral.